Long non-coding RNA from Halichondria panicea, 638 nucleotides. RefSeq lists it as uncharacterized. NCBI's taxonomy places the organism in Eukaryota, Metazoa, Porifera, Demospongiae, Suberitida, Halichondriidae. The transcript is spliced from 2 exons. The record is from RefSeq and is a predicted model, not a curated record.
GAAUAUGCUUUAGGCAUUGUAAUAAUAAUGUUGAAAAUAGCAGCUAAAUUUUAGUUAACCCUUUCCCGGCUUUAGCCGUCAUAUGACGGCAGCGGUAGUGAUAAUUUUCAAAAAAUCGUUGUGGGCGCUGUGUUGGAGCUAUGCGCACGCUGUAGGUACCAGCACAUGCGCAUUGGGCUGCUCUUUCACAUGGUAUCUUUAAUAUCUUGCCUCGAGGUACGCUUUGUGCAGUACUGUCGAAAGAAAAGUGACCGUUUGAUAAUGGCUUCAAGAUCUUUGUAGUACAACCUCAGCGAGGUUGUACUUAGGGCAGCUAGACAGUGAGAAUAACGAUACUUAUGGCCUUGUUGAGUAAGAGGAUAGUGACUGGGAUCAUACCAAGAGAGGAAACUACUUCUCAGAGGUCAAGCUAUAAACAUAGAGCCUGAAGAGCCGGAGGAAGAAGCUCCUGAGCAUGAACCAAAGUCCUGGACCUUGUGAAGAAAACAUUUCCCGGGAAAAGAGCGUCUGCCGAUACGACCUCGCAGAGAAGUUUCUGCUGAUCCUGAUUGAACCAUGUCACCGUGAGAACAUUGAGAACACUUACUUAGUGUUUUUAGUUACUUCAUGCCUUCAUACAAUAUUCUUUAUGUUCAUAA